UCGUGCUAGACGGGGAACUGGCGGUGCCCUGUACCCGCAAACCGCCGUAGCGGGGUCGAAUUCCCCCUCGAGGGCUUAGGGGCGGUCGGGACUGCCAAGUCAAGUGGCGUAGAAGGUUGGGUCCUGCGCGGCAGGAGCCUGUGAACCCCGCCAGGUCCGGAAGGAAGCAACGGUAAGCAGGUACUUCUGGGUGCCGCAGGGUUGCCUGGCCGGAGCAGGCUGACAUUGGUAAGCCGGCUGUCACAGUUCGACAGGGGGUGCACGA
Molecule: signal recognition particle RNA, 265 nt
Filed under: Anaerolineae bacterium
Lineage: Bacteria; Bacillati; Chloroflexota; Anaerolineae
Description: signal recognition particle sRNA large type
Rfam family: Bacterial large signal recognition particle RNA
About the family: The signal recognition particle (SRP) is a universally conserved ribonucleoprotein involved in the co-translational targeting of proteins to membranes. Archaeal SRP consists of a 7S RNA and homologues of the eukaryotic SRP19 and SRP54 proteins. In most bacteria, the SRP consists of a 4.5S RNA and the Ffh protein (a homologue of the eukaryotic SRP54 protein).
Source: RNAcentral